GAAAUGCGAUAAGUAAUGUGAAUUGCAGAAUUCAGUGAAUCAUCGAAUCUUUGAACGCACCUUGCGCUCCUUGGUAUUCCUUGGAGCAUGCCUGUUUGGGUAUCAUGAAAUCUUCAAAGUAAAUCUUUUGUUAACUCAAUUGGCUUCUACUUUGGUAUUGGAGGUCUUUGCAGCUUCACACCUGCUCCUCUUUGUUCAUUAGCUGGAUCUCAGUGUUAUGCUUGGUUCCACUCGGCGUGAUAAGUUAUCUAUCGCUGAGGACACUGUAAAAGGUGGCCAAGGUAAAUGCAGAUGAACCGCUUCUAAUAGUCCAUUGACUUGGACAAUACUUUUAUGAUCUGAUCUCAAAUCAGGUAGGACUACCCGCUGAACUUAAGC
This 378-nucleotide unclassified non-coding RNA is filed under the name plant metagenome. RNAcentral's name for it is "partial contains 5.8S ribosomal RNA, internal transcribed spacer 2, and large subunit ribosomal RNA". The stretch from base 1 to 105 matches the Rfam family "5.8S ribosomal RNA", at positions 50 to 154 of the family's 154-position model. The record is from RNAcentral.